UGGUGGAGUGAUUUGUCUGGUUAAUUCCGUUAACGAACGAGACCUCGACCUGCUAAAUAGUCCGCCGAAGGUUUCGACCUUUGUGUGGGACUUCUUAGAGGGACAUUCGGUGUGUAGCCGAAGGAAGUUCGAGGCAAUAACA
Molecule: ribosomal RNA, 142 nt
Filed under: uncultured eukaryote
Lineage: Eukaryota
Description: partial 18S ribosomal RNA
Rfam family: Eukaryotic small subunit ribosomal RNA
Source: RNAcentral